GACGAACGCUGGCGGCGUGCUUAACACAUGCAAGUCGAACGGUGAAGCGCCUUCCUUUUUGGUGGGUGUGGAUGAGUGGCGAACGGGUGAGUAACACGUGAGUAACCUGCCCCCUUCUUCUGGAUAACCGCAUGAAAGUGUGGCUAAUACGGGAUAUUCUGGGUCUGUCGCAUGAUGGGUCUGGGAAAGAUAUUGUUUCGGUGGGGGAUGGGCUCGCGGCCUAUCAGCUUGUUGGUGGGGUGAUGGCCUACCAAGGCGGUGACGGGUAGCCGGCCUGAGAGGGUGGACGGCAACACUGGGACUGAGACACGGCCCAGACUCCUACAGGAGGCAGCAGUGAGGAAUAUUGCACGAUGGGCGCAAGCCUGAUGCAGCGACGCCGCGUGAGGGAUGGAGGCCUUCGGGUUGUGAACCUCUUUCGCCAGUGAAGCAGGCCUGCCUCGUUUGUGGGUGGGUUGACGGUAGCUGGAUAAGAAGCGCCGGCUAACUACGUG
RNAcentral lists this ribosomal RNA (494 nucleotides) under uncultured bacterium. RNAcentral's name for it is "partial 16S ribosomal RNA". It matches the Rfam family "Bacterial small subunit ribosomal RNA", at positions 28 to 507 of the family's 1533-position model. The record is from RNAcentral.